This 725-nucleotide ribosomal RNA is filed under the name uncultured Actinomycetes bacterium. Its description in RNAcentral is "bacterial SSU rRNA". It matches the Rfam family "Bacterial small subunit ribosomal RNA", at positions 62 to 803 of the family's 1533-position model. The record is from RNAcentral. Lineage: Bacteria; Bacillati; Actinomycetota; Actinomycetes.
UCGAGCGAUGAGAUCACUUCGGUGAAGGAUUAGCGGCGAACGGGUGAGGAACACGUGAAGAAUCUGCCUUCAACUCUGGGAUAACUCCGGGAAACCGGGGCUAAUACCGGAUAUGAGCCUUGAUCGCAUGAUCGGGGCUGGAAAGUUUUUCGGUUGAAGAUGACUUCGCGGCCUAUCAGCUUGUUGGUGAGGUAAUGGCUCACCAAGGCGACGACGGGUAGCCGGCCUGAGAGGGCGACCGGCCACACUGGGACUGAGACACGGCCCAGACUCCUACGGGAGGCAGCAGUGGGGAAUAUUGGGCAAUGGAGGAAACUCUGACCCAGCGACGCCGCGUGCGGGAUGAAGGCCUUCGGGUUGUAAACCGCUUUCAGCAGGGAAUAAGCGCAAGUGAAGGUACCUGCAGAAGAAGCACCGGCUAACUAUGUGCCAGCAGCCGCGGUAAUACAUAGGGUGCAAGCGUUGUCCGGAAUUAUUGGGCGUAAAGAGCUCGUAGGUGGUUUGUUACGUCGGUUGUGAAAUUCAGGGGCUCAACCCCUGACUUGCAGCCGAUACGGGCAAGCUAGAGUUUGGUAGGGGAGACUGGAAUUCCUGGUGUAGCGGUGGAAUGCGCAGAUAUCAGGAGGAACACCGAUGGCGAAGGCAGGUCUCUGGGCCAAUACUGACACUGAGGAGCGAAAGCGUGGGGAGCGAACAGGAUUAGAUACCCUGGUAGUCCACGCCGU